RNAcentral lists this ribosomal RNA (497 nucleotides) under uncultured bacterium. Its description in RNAcentral is "partial 16S ribosomal RNA". It matches the Rfam family "Bacterial small subunit ribosomal RNA", at positions 28 to 507 of the family's 1533-position model. The record is from RNAcentral.
GAUGAACGCUGGCGGCGUGCCUAAUACAUGCAAGUCGAGCGAACAGACGAGGAGCUUGCUCCUCUGACGUUAGCGGCGGACGGGUGAGUAACACGUGGAUAACCUACCUAUAAGACUGGGAUAACUUCGGGAAACCGGAGCUAAUACCGGAUAAUAUAUUGAACCGCAUGGUUCAAUAGUGAAAGACGGUUUUGCUGUCACUUAUAGAUGGAUCCGCGCCGCAUUAGCUAGUUGGUAAGGUAACGGCUUACCAAGGCGACGAUGCGUAGCCGACCUGAGAGGGUGAUCGGCCACACUGGAACAGAGACACGGUCCAGACUCCUACGGGAGGCAGCAGUAGGGAAUCUUCCGCAAUGGGCGAAAGCCUGACGGAGCAACGCCGCGUGAGUGAUAAAGGUCUUCGGAUCUUAAAACUCUGUUAUUAGGGAAGAACAAAUGUGUAAGUAACUAUGCACGUCUUGACGGUACCUAAUCAGAAAGCCACGGCUAACUACGUG